Molecule: ribosomal RNA, 505 nt
Filed under: uncultured bacterium
Lineage: Bacteria
Description: partial 16S ribosomal RNA
Rfam family: Bacterial small subunit ribosomal RNA
Source: RNAcentral
GACGAACGCUGGCGGCGUGCCUAAUACAUGCAAGUAGAACGCACAGUUUAUACCGUAGCUUGCUACACCAUAAGCUGUGAGUUGCGAACGGGUGAGUAACGCGUAGGUAACCUGCCUGGUAGCGGGGGAUAACUAUUGGAAACGAUAGCUAAUACCGCAUAAUAUUGAUUAUUGCAUGAUAAUUGAUUGAAAGAUGCUAUUGCAUCACUACCAGAUGGACCUGCGUUGUAUUAGCUAGUAGGUGAGGUAACGGCUCACCUAGGCGACGAUACAUAGCCGACCUGAGAGGGUGAUCGGCCACACUGGGACUGAGACACGGCCCAGACUCCUACGGGAGGCAGCAGUAGGGAAUCUUCGGCAAUGGACGAAAGUCUGACCGAGCAACGCCGCGGGAGUGAAGAAGGUUUUCGGAUCGUAAAGCUCUGUUGUAAGAGAAGAACGGGUGUGAGAGUGGAAAGUUCACACUGUGACGGUAGCUUACCAGAAAGGGACGGCUAACUACGUG